This 445-nucleotide long non-coding RNA is filed under the name Homo sapiens (human). RNAcentral describes it as "non-protein coding lnc-NUP205-1:1". The record is from RNAcentral. Lineage: Eukaryota; Metazoa; Chordata; Mammalia; Primates; Hominidae.
GUGAGUGAUAAUGAUGACGUCGGGGUGGAGAGUGACAAGCAACAACAGAGAUUUCAAUCUGCGGCUGACGAAUGGGCCCAUCAUAAUGCACUGGAAUGAAAUCGUAGGGACCACAUCAAAGGCAGCCUCCAGUUUGUGGGACGCAGUCCCAACACUCCAAGGAGAGAAGGCCAUAGAGUAUAUCCAGCAUAUGCGAAGGGAAAAACCACACGCCACUGAGAUAUUGAUGACCUCAGCGGCAGAAUGCUCUUCUGAAGGAGGAAGUCCGUGCACCGAAGGGGAGGUCAAGUGCCCAGCCACAGGCCAACUAUCCCUCCUCAGACAGCAUCCUCUACACCAAUGCCAAGGGCAGCACCACCUCUGCCUUUGAUGGGGGCUCCGACUGCAGCUCAGAGUUGGAGCCUGAAGAGGCCUGAAGUAGGAAGAAACUCCAGAUGGAGGCCAG